CUUUUACGACCCCCACGGGAAGAAGGCAUUAGAAAAUAUAAUGUUCUUGCGGAGAACGCAUUGUUAUGACGACAUGAGCUAUUCCCGUCCUGCGGCGUCGCUCCAGAAAUAACUCCACACGAGUACUGGCUCGAUACACUGUUUUCUAUCUUAAUGAUUUAGAAAAGCAAUUAUGUUAUGCGUGUAUGAUGGCAGAUCUAUUUCUGUUAAAUGAAAUAUUUUAAUUUUAA
This 230-nucleotide unclassified non-coding RNA is filed under the name Melitaea cinxia (Glanville fritillary). Its description in RNAcentral is "misc RNA ENSMCXG00005016901.1". Lineage: Eukaryota; Metazoa; Arthropoda; Insecta; Lepidoptera; Nymphalidae. The record is from RNAcentral.